Long non-coding RNA from Amphiprion ocellaris (clown anemonefish), 345 nucleotides. RefSeq lists it as uncharacterized. The transcript is spliced from 3 exons. NCBI's taxonomy places the organism in Eukaryota, Metazoa, Chordata, Actinopteri, Pomacentridae. The record is from RefSeq and is a predicted model, not a curated record.
GACCUUCUCCGUAGGCGAGAGACAACUGAUGGGUAUGGUGAGAGCACUACUCCGUAACUCCAAGAUCAUUCUUUUGGAUGAGGCCACAUGCUCUGAUCCAGAACACCAUCAAAGACGCCGUCAGUGAUUGCACCAUGCUCACCAUCGCACAUCGCAUCAACACUGUGAUGCAAGCAGAUCAUAUUCUGGUCAUGGACAACGGAGAGGCAGUAGAGUUCGGCAAUCCAGAUGUGCUGAAGCAACGACCAGACUCCAUGUUCUCCUCCGUCCUUGCUGCUGCCAACACUGUGAAUACAUGAACCAGAGAUCUGUGAUACCCAAGAACUGCUACACACGUUUUGUUUU